AGAGUUUGAUCAUGGCUCAGAUUGAACGCUGGCGGCAGGCCUAACACAUGCAAGUCGAACGGUAACAGGAAGCAGCUUGCUGCUUUGCUGACGAGUGGCGGACGGGUGAGUAAUGUCUGGGAAACUGCCUGAUGGAGGGGGAUAACUACUGGAAACGGUGGCUAAUACCGCAUAACGUCGCAAGACCAAAGAGGGGGACCUUCGGGCCUCUUGCCAUCAGAUGUGCCCAGAUGGGAUUAGCUUGUUGGUGAGGUAACGGCUCACCAAGGCGACGAUCCCUAGCUGGUCUGAGAGGAUGACCAGCCACACUGGAACUGAGACACGGUCCAGACUCCUACGGGAGGCAGCAGUGGGGAAUAUUGCACAAUGGGCGCAAGCCUGAUGCAGCCAUGCCGCGUGUAUGAAGAAGGCCUUCGGGUUGUAAAGUACUUUCAGCGGGGAGGAAGGUGUUGUGGUUAAUAACCGCAGCAAUUGACGUUACCCGCAGAAGAAGCACCGGCUAACUCCGUGCCAGCAGCCGCGGUAAUACGGAGGGUGCAAGCGUUAAUCGGAAUUACUGGGCGUAAAGCGCACGCAGGCGGUCUGUCAAGUCGGAUGUGAAAUCCCCGGGCUCAACCUGGGAACUGCAUUCGAAACUGGCAGGCUUGAGUCUUGUAGAGGGGGGUAGAAUUCCAGGUGUAGCGGUGAAAUGCGUAGAGAUCUGGAGGAAUACCGGUGGCGAAGGCGGCCCCCUGGACAAAGACUGACGCUCAGGUGCGAAAGCGUGGGGAGCAAACAGGAUUAGAUACCCUGGUAGUCCACGCCGUAAACGAUGUCUACUUGGAGGUUGUGCCCUUGAGGCGUGGCUUCCGGAGCUAACGCGUUAAGUAGACCGCCUGGGGAGUACGGCCGCAAGGUUAAAACUCAAAUGAAUUGACGGGGGCCCGCACAAGCGGUGGAGCAUGUGGUUUAAUUCGAUGCAACGCGAAGAACCUUACCUGGUCUUGACAUCCACGGAACUUUCCAGAGAUGGAUUGGUGCCUUCGGGAACCGUGAGACAGGUGCUGCAUGGCUGUCGUCAGCUCGUGUUGUGAAAUGUUGGGUUAAGUCCCGCAACGAGCGCAACCCUUAUCCUUUGUUGCCAGCGGUCCGGCCGGGAACUCAAAGGAGACUGCCAGUGAUAAACUGGAGGAAGGUGGGGAUGACGUCAAGUCAUCAUGGCCCUUACGACCAGGGCUACACACGUGCUACAAUGGCGCAUACAAAGAGAAGCGACCUCGCGAGAGCAAGCGGACCUCAUAAAGUGCGUCGUAGUCCGGAUUGGAGUCUGCAACUCGACUCCAUGAAGUCGGAAUCGCUAGUAAUCGUGGAUCAGAAUGCCACGGUGAAUACGUUCCCGGGCCUUGUACACACCGCCCGUCACACCAUGGGAGUGGGUUGCAAAAGAAGUAGGUAGCUUAACCUUCGGGAGGGCGCUUACCACUUUGUGAUUCAUGACUGGGGUGAAGUCGUAACAAGGUAACCGUAGGGGAACCUGCGGUUGGAUCACCU
This 1530-nucleotide ribosomal RNA is filed under the name Salmonella enterica subsp. enterica serovar Montevideo. Its description in RNAcentral is "bacterial SSU rRNA". It matches the Rfam family "Bacterial small subunit ribosomal RNA". Lineage: Bacteria; Pseudomonadati; Pseudomonadota; Gammaproteobacteria; Enterobacterales; Enterobacteriaceae. RNAcentral also lists the same sequence under 1 other name. The record is from RNAcentral.